UGUGCCAGCAGCCGCGGUAAUACGUAGGGUCCAAGCGUUAAUCGGAAUUACUGGGCGUAAAGCGUGCGCAGGCGGUUGUGCAAGACCGAUGUGAAAUCCCCGAGCUUAACUUGGGAAUUGCAUUGGUGACUGCACGGCUAGAGUGUGUCAGAGGGGGGUAGAAUUCCACGUGUAAGCAGUGAAAUGCGUAAGAGAUGUGGAGGAAUACCGAUGGCGAAAGGCAGCCCCCUGGAUAACACUGACGCUCAUGCACGAAGCGUG
Molecule: ribosomal RNA, 261 nt
Filed under: uncultured bacterium
Lineage: Bacteria
Description: partial 16S ribosomal RNA
Rfam family: Bacterial small subunit ribosomal RNA
Source: RNAcentral